CCUACGGGGUGCUGCAGUAGGGAAUUUUGCGCAAUGGGCGAAAGCCUGACGCAGCAACACCGCGUGAAUGUUAAGCCCUUCGGGGUGUAAAGUUCUGUCAAUAGGGACGAAUUUUGACUGUACCUAUAAAGGAAGCACCGGCUAACUCCGUGCCAGCAGCCGCGGUAAUACGGAGGAUGCGAGCGUUAUCCGGAUUUAUUGGGUUUAAAGGGUGCGCAGGCGGAGGUGAAAGUCAGCGGUCAAAUUGCGGGGCUCAACCCCGUACUGCCGUUGAAACUGCAUCCCUUGAGUGCGCGAGAAGUAUGCGGAAUGCGUGGUGUAGCGGUGAAAUGCAUAGAUAUCACGCAGAACUCCGAUUGCGAAGGCAGCAUACCGGCGCGCAACUGACGCUCAUGCACGAAAGCGUGGGUAUCGAACAGGAUUAGAUACCCUUGUAGUC
RNAcentral lists this ribosomal RNA (439 nucleotides) under uncultured bacterium. RNAcentral's name for it is "partial 16S ribosomal RNA". It matches the Rfam family "Bacterial small subunit ribosomal RNA", at positions 338 to 795 of the family's 1533-position model. The record is from RNAcentral.